GACGCCCCGGGAGGGUGACCUCCGCGCCGGCACCGCCCCCUCCCCAGCCGGAGUCCCGGGGGUUCGGGGGCGCGCUUUCCCAGGCUCCGGUGGAGUCGACCGACAGCAUCGAGCGAUGCUCCGGAUUAGAGAGAGAGGCUAAAGGGAUUGGCGCUCCCGGACCUCGGGCUCGACUGGGCCGGCUGGGGAGGGGGCGCCGUUCACCCUGGGCGCGCCCUGACUCGGGGGACGGUCGCCAGGCAGGAGGACGCGAGCAGGGGCAACGCCGAUGGUUCGAAAAGGGAACGCUUGCAGAGCGCCUGCAGUGUGGCCUGCGCCGUGCCCGGGGCCCAUUGAGCACCCAGACAGCUCGGAGCUACCCUUCCGGGGCGCACAGGCCAACGGCACCUACACUCUGGUCUGUUAUCUUCCGCUUCCCCGGUGCCCUGGAAAAGCCACGUGCAUACCGAAGCGACUCAAUAAUAAUGUGUGUUGAAUAAACGAGUGAUUGUUUUAA
Long non-coding RNA from Capra hircus (goat), 496 nucleotides. RefSeq lists it as uncharacterized. NCBI's taxonomy places the organism in Eukaryota, Metazoa, Chordata, Mammalia, Artiodactyla, Bovidae. The transcript is spliced from 2 exons. The record is from RefSeq and is a predicted model, not a curated record.